This 31-nucleotide transfer RNA is filed under the name Leichhardtia glandulifera. Its description in RNAcentral is "Marsdenia glandulifera partial tRNA-Phe". The record is from RNAcentral. Lineage: Eukaryota; Viridiplantae; Streptophyta; Magnoliopsida; Gentianales; Apocynaceae.
GUCAGGAUAGCUCAGCUGGUAGAGCAGAGGA